GACGAACGCUGGCGGCGUGCUUAACACAUGCAAGUCGAACGAUGAAGCCUAGCUUGCUAGGUGGAUUAGUGGCGAACGGGUGAGUAAUACGUGAGUAACCUACCUUUAACUCUGGGAUAAGCCUGGGAAACUGGGUCUAAUACCGGAUACGACCAAUCUCCGCAUGGGGUGUUGGUGGAAAGCGUUAUGUAGUGGUUAUAGAUGGGCUCACGGCCUAUCAGCUUGUUGGUGAGGUAACGGCUCACCAAGGCGACGACGGGUAGCCGGCCUGAGAGGGUGACCGGCCACACUGGGACUGAGACACGGCCCAGACUCCUACGGGAGGCAGCAGUGGGGAAUAUUGCACAAUGGGCGCAAGCCUGAUGCAGCGACGCCGCGUGAGGGAUGACGGCCUUCGGGUUGUAAACCUCUGUUAGCAGGGAAGAAGAGAGAUUGACGGUACCUGCAGAGAAAGCGCCGGCUAACUACGUGCCAGCAGCCGCGGUAAUACGUAGGGCGCGAGCGUUGUCCGGAAUUAUUGGGCGUAAAGAGCUUGUAGGCGGUUUGUCGCGUCUGCUGUGAAAGGCCGGAGCUUAACUCCGUGUAUUGCAGUGGGUACGGGCAGACUAGAGUGCAGUAGGGGAGACUGGAAUUCCUGGUGUAGCGGUGGAAUGCGCAGAUAUCAGGAGGAACACCGAUGGCGAAGGCAGGUCUCUGGGCUGUAACUGACGCUGAGAAGCGAAAGCAUGGGGAGCGAACAGGAUUAGAUACCCUGGUAGUCCAUGCCGUAAACGUUGGGCACUAGGUGUGGGAACAUUCCACGUUUUCCGCGCCGUAGCUAACGCAUUAAGUGCCCCGCCUGGGGAGUACGGCCGCAAGGCUAAAACUCAAAGAAAUUGACGGGGGCCCGCACAAGCGGCGGAGCAUGCGGAUUAAUUCGAUGCAACGCGAAGAACCUUACCAAGGCUUGACAUAUACUGGAUCGCAUCAGAGAUGGUGUUUCCCUUCGGGGCUGGUAUACAGGUGGUGCAUGGUUGUCGUCAGCUCGUGUCGUGAGAUGUUGGGUUAAGUCCCGCAACGAGCGCAACCCUCGUUCUAUGUUGCCAGCACGUUAUGGUGGGGACUCAUAGGAGACUGCCGGGGUCAACUCGGAGGAAGGUGGGGAUGACGUCAAAUCAUCAUGCCCCUUAUGUCUUGGGCUUCACGCAUGCUACAAUGGCCGGUACAGAGGGUUGCGAUACUGUGAGGUGGAGCUAAUCCCUAAAAGCCGGUCUCAGUUCGGAUUGGGGUCUGCAACUCGACCCCAUGAAGUCGGAGUCGCUAGUAAUCGCAGAUCAGCAACGCUGCGGUGAAUAUGUUCCCGGGCCU
RNAcentral lists this ribosomal RNA (1347 nucleotides) under uncultured bacterium. RNAcentral describes it as "bacterial SSU rRNA". It matches the Rfam family "Bacterial small subunit ribosomal RNA", at positions 28 to 1381 of the family's 1533-position model. The record is from RNAcentral.